RNAcentral lists this ribosomal RNA (253 nucleotides) under uncultured bacterium. Its description in RNAcentral is "partial 16S ribosomal RNA". It matches the Rfam family "Bacterial small subunit ribosomal RNA", at positions 524 to 776 of the family's 1533-position model. The record is from RNAcentral.
UACGUAGGGUGCAAGCGUUGUCCGGAAUUAUUGGGCGUAAAGAGCUCGUAGGCGGUCUGUCGCGUCGGCUGUGAAAUCCCGAGGCUCAACCUCGGGUCUGCAGUCGAUACGGGCGGACUGGAGUUCGGCAGGGGAGACUGGAAUUCCUGGUGUAGCGGUGAAAUGCGCAGAUAUCAGGAGGAACACCGGUGGCGAAGGCGGGUCUCUGGGCCGAUACUGACGCUGAGACGCGAAAGCGUGGGGAGCGAACAGG